UAUACAGAAAGUAUUAGUUUUAAUCCAGUGUCUUCUCUGCCUGUAUAACUUACUGUUAUGAGCAAAGGUGAUAUCCUACUUAAUUUGACAUCCUCUAGGCAGGGAAUAAUAGAACAUUUGAUAGCAUUCAUUAUUUGGGCCCACCAAAAUACACACUCACCCACGUGGGCUUGCGCACACACGCACACACACACCCUUAAUGAUUACAUGAGGGGGAGCUACUGACAGUAGGAGCCGGUCAUAAAUGGGGUAAGAAUCAUGACAGGAAAAGCCACAGUGCAUGGCAACGCUGGAUCCUUAACCCACUGAGCAAGGCCUGGGAUCGAACCCGCCACCUCCUCGUUCCUAGUCGGCUUCGUUUCUGUCGCGCCAGGACGGGAACUCCUUUUUAUUUAUUUAUUUAUUUGGGGUGGGGGGAGGGCUUCUUGCCUUUUAAGGGGCUCUAAUGUUCUCCUGCGGUGGGAGCUGUAGCGUGGGUUAGGGAUGCUUGACAUAGCCUAUGGUGAUGUGAAAUGUUGGCAUUUCAACAUCCCGUUUACCCUCUUUUCUGCUGGAAACUAAAACUGAACUAACACUAAAACUGAUAGUGAAGUCUUGGGCUUUUGCUAUAAAGAGUGAGAGUUCCAUGGCUCUGCUAUGAUAAUACUCCUACAGGGUGAUUCAUAGGUUAAACUGUUAGGACAGAAAAGAAAUAUUUUUACUUGGCUAUGCCCUCCUUUAAAAAAAAAAAAAACGCAAAUAUUACUUUACUGUGUUUUUUAAAAAAAACCCUAUCACUGGCAUAGUUUUCAGUUUUUUCACAGUUGAUUGUCUUUAAGCAUACAAUCUUUAACUGGGAAAUCAUUCAGAGAUAAUUAUUUGGGGAAGGAAGAUGGCAAGGGAAAUAGUUAUGUAGUCAGUUUUUGAUUAUCCGUGAUGAUUUUGCUACUGGAAUUAAAAUCCUAUUUUAGCAAAUAGCAACGGUUACCUUCUCUUUUUGCUAACCCUUAGAACAAAGUGUUUUAUUAGGAAACAGAGCUGCAUUUUAUUUCUCCUCCGGAGCCCUGGGCCUGUCUUGUAUUUUCACUUUCUGCAGCACCUGCUGUUUUCCCCAUUUCGGCAGUGUGCUGCAACUGGCUUGCAUUGGAUGGAAAACCAAUUGUGUCUCUCCUUCCAGCACCACGUUCUCUUUCCCCACCUUCGUACCUUGACGUCUGCUGCACUAAGAGUAUUUACACCAGGGAAAUUGACAGAGGCAGCGAAUCAGGGCUUUCCCCCAGAGGUGAUUAUUAGACCUUUCACCAGCCCACUAUUGCCCUCUUGAGUCCUCUUAAUUUUUGGAUGCAUAUUCUCUAAAUUAUAUUAUAUGUUAACCUUUUUGCAAGCAGAGGUUGUGAUGGAAAAGGUUACUCUUUCUUGGCCUCAUUAUAAUCAUGCGUAUACUUACAUCUGCAUUUUAGUGUCUCUCUUUCUUCAUGUUUCCCAUCAGAAGAAGGCUUCUUCCUUCUGGAAGCCUUCCCUCGCUUCCUGUUUGCUGACUCUGAGUGCCUACAGCCCGUGCCUUAGAGAACCAAGUCCACUAGGUAUGCGUACAGUAGAAAAACAAAUGAGAGUUUGAAGAGUUUUGUAAAAGAAUAAAGUUCUUGAAUAAAGUGCAUAGCCUUGGCCCAGAGCUUUUAUGAAAAACAGCUUGAUGCCAGGACUUGUUUUAGGGACAUUGGAUCUGUGCAGUCACUCAGGGCUCCAUGCUGACAAAGGCCUCGUGCUUGGUUUAACGCUCUGUAGUUACCAUCUUGAAAUUCUGAAUACUUUUUGAGCGAGAGGUCCUGCAUUUUCGUUUUGCUCUCGGCUCCAUAAAUUAUGGAGGCAAUCCUCAUCGCUGUUCAGAUGUCUUCUUUGCUUCUGAUGUUAGCAAGCUUCACUUCUUGGAAGCCUGGUGUCUGGGUCAGUGGGAUGUUUCUAUAUUAACUACGGAUGAAUGCUUGGUCAGAUCACUGUGAAUCCUGAGUGAGUAG
This 1994-nucleotide long non-coding RNA is filed under the name Sus scrofa (pig). RNAcentral's name for it is "lncRNA (ENSSSCG00000056412.1)". Lineage: Eukaryota; Metazoa; Chordata; Mammalia; Artiodactyla; Suidae. The record is from RNAcentral.